This 119-nucleotide ribosomal RNA is filed under the name Danio rerio (zebrafish). Lineage: Eukaryota; Metazoa; Chordata; Actinopteri; Cypriniformes; Danionidae. The record is from RNAcentral.
AUCAACAGCAAAUGAUGACCCUGCAGUCCAAGACCAAAUACUCACUGAAGCUAAACAGGCCUUAGCCAGGUCAGGACCUGGAUGGGAGACCACAUGGAAAAACUAGCUUGCUGUUGGAA